This 429-nucleotide ribosomal RNA is filed under the name Acidobacteriota bacterium. RNAcentral describes it as "Acidobacteria bacterium partial 16S ribosomal RNA". It matches the Rfam family "Bacterial small subunit ribosomal RNA", at positions 355 to 776 of the family's 1533-position model. The record is from RNAcentral. Lineage: Bacteria; Pseudomonadati; Acidobacteriota.
UGGGGAAUUUUGGACAAUGGGGGAAACCCUGAUCCAGCCAUCCCGCGUGUGCGAUGAAGGCCUUCGGGUUGUAAAGCACUUUUGGCAGGAAAGAAACGUCAUGGGUUAAUACCCCGUGAAACUGACGGUACCUGCAGAAUAAGCACCGGCUAACUACGUGCCAGCAGCCGCGGUAAUACGUAGGGUGCAAGCGUUAAUCGGAAUUACUGGGCGUAAAGCGUGCGCAGGCGGUUCGGAAAGAAAGAUGUGAAAUCCCAGAGCUCAACUUUGGAACUGCAUUUUUAACUACCGGGCUAGAGUGUGUCAGAGGGAGGUGGAAUGCCGCGUGUAGCAGUGAAAUGCGUAGAUAUGCGGAGGAACACCGAUGGCGAAGGCAGCCUCCUGGGAUAACACUGACGCUCAUGCACGAAAGCGUGGGGAGCAAACAGG